GACGAACGCUGGCGGCGUGCUUAACACAUGCAAGUCGAACGAAGAGCGAUGGAAGCUUGCUUCUAUCAAUCUUAGUGGCGAACGGGUGAGUAACGCGUAAUCAACCUGCCCUUCAGAGGGGGACAACAGUUGGAAACGACUGCUAAUACCGCAUACGAUCUAAUCUCGGCAUCGAGGAUAGAUGAAAGGUGGCCUCUACAUGUAAGCUAUCACUGAAGGAGGGGAUUGCGUCUGAUUAGCUAGUUGGAGGGGUAACGGCCCACCAAGGCGAUGAUCAGUAGCCGGUCUGAGAGGAUGAACGGCCACAUUGGGACUGAGACACGGCCCAGACUCCUACGGGAGGCAGCAGUGGGGAAUCUUCCGCAAUGGACGAAAGUCUGACGGAGCAACGCCGCGUGAGUGAUGACGGCCUCGGUUGUAAA
RNAcentral lists this ribosomal RNA (422 nucleotides) under uncultured bacterium. RNAcentral's name for it is "bacterial SSU rRNA". It matches the Rfam family "Bacterial small subunit ribosomal RNA", at positions 28 to 429 of the family's 1533-position model. The record is from RNAcentral.